CGGGGCGUAGCUUAGCCCGGUAAAGCGCACGGUUUGGGACCGUGAGAGCGGAGGUUCGAGUCCUCUCGCCCCGACUA
This 77-nucleotide transfer RNA is filed under the name Chloroflexota bacterium. RNAcentral's name for it is "Chloroflexi bacterium (sediment metagenome) tRNA-Pro". It matches the Rfam family "tRNA". Rfam says of the family: Transfer RNA (tRNA) molecules are approximately 80 nucleotides in length. Lineage: Bacteria; Bacillati; Chloroflexota. The record is from RNAcentral.